Long non-coding RNA from Pogoniulus pusillus (Red-fronted tinkerbird), 802 nucleotides. RefSeq lists it as uncharacterized. NCBI's taxonomy places the organism in Eukaryota, Metazoa, Chordata, Aves, Piciformes, Lybiidae. The transcript is spliced from 2 exons. The record is from RefSeq and is a predicted model, not a curated record.
CACAGACUCCAAUGAGAAUGGCUCCCGGGAUGAAUGUGAUCACCACUAGAGCCUGAAGUGGUGCAGUGAGUUUCACUUAGCAACCAGCACUGACAAUUUGAGAGACAGGAAGCUCCAGGACUGAUUCCAGAGUCACAGCUCCCUGUUAAGCAGCAACCCCAGGAAGGGCAGCUCUACCCUGCAGCUGAUGGUACCAAUCCUGCCUCCACUGCCACUUUCCCUACAAACUGGAAAAGCUGCAACAAGCCACAUAUGGUAAUGAAGGGCCUGGCACAUGAGACUCCUUGGGGCAGAGCUGUGCCCUGUGAGCUCUCUACAGUCAUCUUUUGAAGCAUUACUUCACUUUAAGGGACAGGCUACCACCCACUCUGAGGAAAACUGCUCCUUGGCAAGCUGGCUUGCUCAGCUAGGAAACCCCUGGAGCCCCAGACAAGGUGCUACUGAAGUGCUGAUCUCUGCAGCCAACCAGUUUCUGCCUAAGGAACAGAUGGUUCAGAAGCACUUCAAUAACCUCAGAUUGCAGACCUGAAACCUGGAAGAGAGCAUCAAAAGCAAAGGGGAGCCACUCACCAAAACUGGUAAUCAACUUAGCUUCAGUUCACUUCACUCUGCUUCUAAAGUGCAGUGGGUUGGCUCCAAGCAGCAGCUAGGCCCCGGAGUUUCUCACUCAGCCACUCCGCAGCAGGGUGGGUAAGAGAAGGAACAUGUGUGGAUUGUGAUAAAGAGAGUUCAGGAAGUGAAGGGGGGAAAAAGUGAUGCCAAAAGGUACUCACUCACCACAUCCCACCUGCAGCCUGAUGCC